This 6517-nucleotide long non-coding RNA is filed under the name Homo sapiens (human). Its description in RNAcentral is "non-protein coding LINC00894:11". Lineage: Eukaryota; Metazoa; Chordata; Mammalia; Primates; Hominidae. The record is from RNAcentral.
CCUGAGCAACCUGGAGUCCUCUGUCUUUCUUCCCUCAGUGAGAUGCGCCUACUUCUCCCUGGAGAAGCUUGAGGAAGCAGAAAUGCUGGAGAUGAGGUUUCUUUUUCUUUCUUUCUUUUUCAUUUUUUUUUAGACGGAGUUUUGCUCUUGUUGCCCAGGCUGGUGCAAUCUCGGCUCACCACUACCUCUGCCUUCUGGGCUCAAGCGAUUCUCCUUCCUCAGCCUCCUGAGUGCUGGGAUUACAGGAGACCUCGUCCGCACAGGGGCUUGUUCUUCUGUGUCUUUGCAGGGCUGUUUUGGACUCAGUAUUCACCUAAGCACUCCAAAUUUUUCCUUUUCUGCCCUGACUCUCACAGGGUCGUGCGGAUGUGCGAUGUAGGAGGAGGAGAGAGGUAAAGUGGAGGAAUAGGAGCUGGAGGGGAGGAGGAGAGAAGAAAAGAGGAGAAGGAGGGGGAAGAGAGGGAGCGGGUUCAAGGAGGGAAGGAGGAGGAGAAGGAGAGGAGGAGGAGAUGAGACCAAGGAGAAGAGGUGAAGGAGGAGAGGAGGACACAGAAAAGAGAAGAAAGAGGAGAGGAGACGGAGAAGAGGAGGAGGAGUAACAAAGGAGGAAGAAGAGGAAGAGGACUAGAAGAGCAAACCCAGCACACCCUGCCUGCAUGGCGCUGCGCUGCACCUUCACUCUGGUCACGGGUCUGGCAGUCAGCUCACCAAUUCCUCCUGCUUCCCUGGGACUUGCCGGCUUUUAGCACUGCAAUUCACUCAGCAAACUGGGACUGUUGGUCACCCUACCUGGCAGCCAGUGAUAAGGUGAGGGCCACUCCUGGGAGGGAGGACACCUGUGGGGAAAAUUCUUGUGUUAUUUAUUUCUCCUUCGGGAUAGGGUGCCUGCAGCGCUUCAUGGGAGGGGGUGGGCUGAUGCUGCGGGCUCUUUUAGAUGUUUGUUAAUUGCUCUUGGUCUCUCAUUAAUCCCCUGUGGGUCAUCCAGGAAACAUACUCACCACUGUCUGUUCUCUGAGUUUUCAUUUCCAGGCAUCCGCCCUGCCUGGAUCUCCUCACCUGCCAGGAACUUCCUCUCCACAAGCCGGCCAUCCCAGCAAAAGUUCUAACACCAAAGGUCUGGCAACUAGCCUGCCAUCUUGUGCCUGGAGCCGCCUGCGUGCCACCUACUCCCGAAGAUGGGAACCUUGUUGCCAGUUGGGCAGAUGCGGGGCAAUCCUGUACCAAGACCCCAUUUUACCACCUGCUUUCUCAGACCACUCUGGAACCCACUGUCUCAGAUUGUGUCCUCCAGGAAGCAGACCAUGAGAGGGAGUUGGCAGGGCCAAAGAUUUACUGGGGCUAACUAACACUCAGGAAAGGGAUAGGAAGGAAACAGGGCUGGAGAGCAGGUUGAGCCCGACCUGACAGUCUCGAGCAGCCCAACAGGGAGGUGUGGAGCAAGGGUUGCCCACUAGAGGGGCCUGCAUUGGGUACGGGUGAUGGGGUCCACAUGGUACCUGGCAUAUAGCAGGCUGUGCAAUCCAUAUUAACUGACUGGAUAAAUUAAUGCCCAGAAAAGGUGCCCUGGAGAAUGGGUGUGUGCUGAACACAAUAGGGAAGGGCCCAGCAUCUGCCUUGGCAUAGGCAGAACUGUGCUGUGCCCUGCAACAGGCCACCUGAGAGCUGCUUUGAUCUUGUGUGUACAUUAGAUGACUGCCAGGGGCCAGAUGGAAGCCAGGCCCCCUCCUGAAAGAGGCUCCUUGAAGCCAACUCCUAAAGGACCACUGAAGGAGUGUGGGCUGCACGCUGGGUGCAGCAGGUGAGUUUCCUCACUUGGGUUUCACUGUCAGCAUUUUAAAAAGGCAAACUGGUUUUCUUCCUGAGAAGAAUUCAUUGAUUCACUUGUGGCCAGUAAGUCAUCUGGGCCAGAGGUUGGUGGGGAGAUGAUAGGGGUGCAAGUGUCAUCUUCAAUCACAGCAUAACUGCCCUUGCUUUCUUACCUCUCGUUUAGAUAUUUCAAUGCUUGCUCAGGUCCCCUGCGCCCUCCUUCCUUCUCCCUUCCCAGCCAUACUACUUAUGGGAUGACUUUCUCUUUGUAAAAUGACCGUUAGUCUUAUCAAAUUAAUCCCAAAGUAAUACCAUCAAUUUCCCCCUAAAAUACCAACAAGACCCCUGCUUGAAACUGCUUGUACAUUAGAGACAGAGAAGAGUCCAUGAGAAUCAACAUUUUCUGAGGACUCCAACUGUGUGCCAAGAGAGUUCCCCUGCUGGUGCCUCCUCUGUAGUAAAGGAAAGGUAACAUUCCUGCAAGCUCCUGGGACCACAUUAUCAUUCUCUUCACUCGAGAGAUGAGGACACUGAAAUUCAGAGAGGGGAAGUGAUUUGCCUCAGCUUGUACUGUGGUAGAUCUACUUUUAGUGCUUUAAGGAGUCUCCAUACUGUUUUCUGUAGUGGUUAUAGUAGUUUACAUUCCCACCAGCACUGUAAAAGUGUUCCCUUUUCACCACAUCCACACCAACAUCUAUUAUUUUUUAAUUUUUAAAUUAUGGCCAUUCUUGCAGGAAUUGUGUGUGGUUUUGCCUGGCUUAUGAUCUGGGAAACUUGCAUCCUCCUGUUAGUAUGUCUAGUUAGCUCUGAGAAGUGGCUUAGAAAGAAACAUUUCAACAGAGAACCCAGUGGAAAUUAUGACAUGUUAUCUUCUCAGAGUCCUGAACUCCCAUCCCUACCUCAGAAGAGACUCCUCUGUUCACAGAAGCUAAAGGCAGUUCCUUCCCAAUGGCAACUAUGUUUGGAUGUUGGAUCUACACUUUCUCAAGCACUGUGAUCUUCAAAUGUAAGUUUAGUACAAAGGAGAUUUCUCCCAUUAUAUACUUCUUAUGAUCAACAAAUUCCAUCAUCUCCCCACUAAGAGAAAGUACUCCAAGAUGAUAGAAUGAUUUUAAAGUUAUGGGACUACAACAGCAGCCACAGGAACCUUGAGUAAGUACCAUGAACCCUGACCCUCAGCGUUAAUUUGUAAGCCUUUGGCAGUGAGAUGGAAUGUCUUCCUUCAGUUUGAAACAAAGGAAACCUAUUGCAUCGCACGUAAAUUUGUAUAUUGAUGCUAUAUUGACUUUGUAGCUGCCAUGCCUUCAUACAGACACCUCAUCCAGCCCCCACUGUUCCACUUAUUGUGAUGGUUUGUAUAUCUUUAUUUCAAAGAAGAUCUGUUUGAACCGUGUUUAAUUUCUUCUUUGACCUGCUUUCAUCACUGCCCAUGCCUACCCUGGUGGCAUUCUCAUCCACGAGACUACCACAUCCAUGCCACUAGGUGGCAUUCUCAUCCAUGAGACUACUGCACCCGUGCGCACGUCAAGAAGUAGCCAAGCCAUGGGCUGGAUUGUGCUUUUCCUGAGAGGAUGAAAGGCUUCAUGGAUACAUGCUAGUAUCCAUGUUCCUCUAUUCUCAAGUCAGGCACCAAGAUGAUGUUUCAUACCUGCCUGCCUUUCAAAGUCUCAUAAAUGUUCAUUGAAUAUCCACUCUAUGCAAGGCACUAGGGUAGUCACAGAGGCAAGGUUUGAGCUAAACUACAGGCCCUGCCCUCCAGGAGCUCCCGGUCUCAUGGCAGGGUGCAGAAGCCAGAAUAGAGGGCCAUGGCAUGGGAGAGAACUCUGCUGACCGGGAGCUCUGAAGGGUUAGGGGUCCAUGAGCCUGAUUUAUGGGGUCGUUGCCAUAGGAUUAGGGGCUCCCUGGCAUACAGUGAAUGGAGAGACUAGCAUUGCUGUGUUAUUUCACUGAGAGGGCACCAAUGUUCAGCCUCUGAGACCAGGGGAGGAAAGCAGUGGCCAUGAAUGUUCCCUCCCAUCCCGGGGACUGACUGGGCUCCUCCCACAGUCUCAGACACAGAGGAAGAAGUGUACUCACACUGCCCCAACACCAGUGAGUGGAAAUAUUUAUAGGUCUCUCAUUUGGUUUUAAUUUUUAUUUUUUUAUUUUUCAGAAAUUAAAAAAAAAAUCACACUCACAAAAUUAACCAUUACCCACAUUCCUACCAACAAGAAGUAACCAUUCUUAACCUUGUAAUAUGUUGGUUUCCAGAUUUAUGUUUAUGCUUUAAAAAAUUAUGCAGACAACAUAUUAGCACAUUGCCCCUUUUCUCAUUUGUUUUAAUCCAUGUUCUUCCCAUUUAUACAGGAGCAAUUCUUGCAUUCAGUUAUGGGAUACUAUAAAUGCCUAGUAUAAUGGCAGCAGAGAGAAUUACUAUGGUUGUAUACCUUUUCUCGCUCCUUGCUCCUCAAAUGCCUUAGAGUUUAAAAUCUAUUGUGGAAAGUUUGUGAAAUGCAGAACGGUGAAAAUAAACAAAUUACCAGUGGUUCUUUGGCUUCGGGAGAACUGUAAUUGAUGUUCAUUUUGGUAUAUUUCCCUCCAGUAUUUUUUCCAUAUGGUUUUAUUUUUAAAAAUUUUACCCCAUAUAUAUAUACAUAUAUAUAUACAUACUAACUACUCACAAAAUUAAAAUUUUCUUUUUUAAAGCAAGAAUAAUCUUUAUUCCUUGGAAACUAAUUUAUAAAAUUGUUAUCAAUAAGAUGAAAAGAUUCAUGGUAAUUAUUUUCUUGUUCAUAGUUUCUUGCUGGCUUUUUUUUGGAACUAAUCACUUCCAGGAAAGUGCAGAGGUCUUACAGUGAAGAGAAGGAAAAGCAUAUUAAUUGUAGCUGGACUGGGUCUAGAUCAUGAGAGCUGGAAUAUCCUAAGAUCUGGGACAAAGGGACAGCCAUUGGGCAGCUGUACUUUAUGGUAGGCAACAUAGCACAAAGAUUCAGUUGUUUCUUUUUUACCCCCUCCAGGACAAUUUAAAUGUCUACUCUGGUUAGUUUCUGAGAGUAGGUACCAUGUUACUUAAAAAAUUCUACUCAUUGUAAAUGAAGUUGUAUCAACACAUAACAACUGCCACUUGGAAAUCAUCUUUGUCUUUCCCUGAUGUCCCUUUUUCGUAUCCUUCUCUCUAGUACUCAUUCCUUCAGUCAGUGAAUUUAUGCUGCAACUUGACUACAUGCCAGGCACAACACCGGCACCAUUGAUAUAAUGUUGACUAAGACAGUGUUCGUUUUUAUUCCAAAGACUGCCAUCCAGGGCCAUGCAGCAAACAAGCAACAGGGAAAUAUCCCACUAUGCAAUCCUAUUUUGAGAUGAUAUUUAGGAUGAGAGAACAUGCAUUAGUUACCUACCAGCUUGACAGGAAUGGAUUUCCAAAUCUGACACACCAUAGCCUGAAUUCUCACCAGUUUGCUCCUGGAAAGGCCCGCUCAUGGUAAGCUCCUUAGAGUUUGUUAGUAGUGGGGAAGCCUUGAGUUUCAGGAGAACGUGUUUGGAUGGCAUUUUAAGAAGCCAUUCCAUUUUUGGUAGAGUAGAAAAAGUCUGCAUCUGAGUCUGUAGUACAGUCUGUUCUCUGGAUGAACACAAUGUCUCUCUCACAUUUUUCUGAUAUUUAUUCUGCAAAUCAGCAGCAUGAGCCCCUGCCACUCUUCUAAAUAAGCUUCCAGGCAUUACCUGCAUGCUGUGUUCCUGUGGUGGGAUGGCAGUAAUCUCUGCUAAGAUAAACGGGAGCUUCUGUGGAUAAAGCAUAAACGCAGUGAAGUGUGUGUGGCUGGAAGAUUUAAUGCCUCUACAGUGCUUAGAUACAAGUUGAGCUUGGAAUUCCAGAGGUAGAGCACUGCUGAUUGGAGACAUAUUAAGUAAAAUGUACUGUGGAAAUGAGAUAAAACCUUUAUUCUUGCUAAUGAUUGUCAUUGUAUGUAUUCAGGUGUCCAACAAAGGAUUUUAGAAUAAAGUGUGCCUUUAAAGUUUGUUUUCAAUGAUCAAAAAACAGAAACAACCCAGGUGUUUGGUUAAUAGGUGAAUGGUUAAAAAAAUUAUGGUACAUCCAUACCAUGGAAUACUACUCAGUGAUUAAAAAAAAAGAAUGAACUACUGAUAUAUACAACUUGGAUGGAUCUCAUUGGCAUUAUGCUGAAUGAAAAAAGGCAAUCUCAAAAGGUCACUGUUAGGUUCCAGGUAGGUGGGACAUGGCUUUAUUCAGCAGUUUCUUCACACUGUCGGUGCUGCAUUUAUGCACCUCACAGACCAUAAUGGCUCAGAGGCAGGUGAUGAGCCCUCCCACGUUAUGGCUACAUAGCUGUGAUUAUGUAAUGCAUGGGAUUGUGCGCCUGUGCUCCAAUCCCACUGUGUCAUACUGUGCAGGAUGUGUACCUCAGCCUAUACUUGACUGCAGCACAGCCAUUGUCCUUACAAUCACAUACUGUAAGGACAGUAUGUGAUUCCAUUUAUAUAAUAGUCUCAAAAAUGAUAAAAAGAUGGAGAACUGAUUGGUGCUGUACAAAGGUUAGCAGUGUUGGUGAGGGGAGUUGUGACUAUAAAGAGGUAGCAUAAGGAAGAUAUUUGUGGUGAUGGAAUAGUUCCAUUUCUGGAUUGCAGUGGUGGUUACAAGAAUACAGACGUGAUUAAAUGGCAUAGAAUUACACAUAUGCUUUGCACCAAUGCCAAUUUCCUGAUGUUGGUAUAG